Long non-coding RNA from Canis lupus familiaris (dog), 671 nucleotides. RefSeq lists it as uncharacterized. The record is from RefSeq and is a predicted model, not a curated record. The transcript is spliced from 3 exons. NCBI's taxonomy places the organism in Eukaryota, Metazoa, Chordata, Mammalia, Carnivora, Canidae.
CUGCAUUCUAUGUUCUGCAUUCUUUCUGACUCAACAUGCAUUUGGAGGGAGCCUAAACAGGAGUACCCCACAACCCAUUCAUGUCAGGCCAGCUUCUAGCGACACCAAGGACCAGCUGAUACUACUAGGCCAGAUCCUGCACAUCAGGGGCUGCAUCUUCCUUUCUCAUAAUGAAUGCACUGAAUUUAUAGAAUGAUUGGAUGAAGAAUCUGUGCAAACAUUGGGUCCAUUGAACCUACUGUGAAAUGGCCUUUUUUAAGCACUCCAGGUAUUAUCUGGAUUCUCUAUAUCCUCACUCUACUCAUGAUGAUGUUUUGGGUCCUCUCAUGUGAGUAUGAUGAGCAAAGAUUCUGUAUUGAAUCAUCCUACAGUGGUCUGCAUAUUCUCCAUUCCCCAGUGUACAGUUACUUCAGUAAAAGACUAUUGAUCAUUCUGUUGAAGAGGGAAAUGAUUGAGGAAAUUGCUACUUUCUGUCCUUACUAGAGCAUUGUAUGUUUUCGUCCUCUAUCUGAACAAUGAGCUCAAGCUCUGAGACUGGCAUGGGUCUAAAAAUGUAUUAAGAGAAUAGCAAGAGAUUUGUGGCAAUUGGCAUUAGUCCUCUGUUCACUGUUUCUUAAUUUUUAGUUAUAUAUGUCAAGAAAUAUGGUAAUUGACUAUCUAGAUCUUUCUUA